UUUCCGUAGGUGAACCUGCGGAAGGAUCAUUCGUGAAUUGUAUAUGAUAGCGGUUUUCUUCGGCGUUCUUAGCCUCAAAUCAUAUCUAUAACAUCUGUGAUCUGUCAGGCUGUCUUGACAACGACAGUGAUUAGAGCUCAAGCCUUUUUUUUACAAAUAUUAUAGAAAAAAACGUACUCUUAUCAUAUUCUAAUAACACUUUUAAUAACUGAUCUCUUGGCUUUCGCAUCGACGAAGAACGCAGCAGCACGUCUGAGCACACGUCUCAACUCCAGACCC
This 279-nucleotide unclassified non-coding RNA is filed under the name plant metagenome. Its description in RNAcentral is "partial contains small subunit ribosomal RNA, internal transcribed spacer 1, and 5.8S ribosomal RNA". The record is from RNAcentral.